This is an unclassified non-coding RNA of Callithrix jacchus (white-tufted-ear marmoset), 282 nucleotides long. It matches the Rfam family "Metazoan signal recognition particle RNA". Rfam says of the family: The signal recognition particle (SRP) is a universally conserved ribonucleoprotein. It is involved in the co-translational targeting of proteins to membranes. NCBI's taxonomy places the organism in Eukaryota, Metazoa, Chordata, Mammalia, Primates, Cebidae. The record is from Ensembl.
GCUGGUUGCGGUGGUGCAUGCCUGAAGUCCCAGCUACUCCGGAGGCUGAGGUGGGAGGAUCGCUUGAGCCCACGAGUUCUGGGCUGUAGUGCGCUAUGCCGGUAGGGUGUCUAAGUUCGGCAUCAGUAUGAUGACUUUCCGGGAGCAGGGGACCACCAGGUUGGCCUAAGGAGGGGUGAACUAGCCCAAGUCAGAAACCAAGCAGGUCAAAAUUCAAGUGCUGAUCAGUAGUGAUUAGGGUGGUAGCUGUGGCUACAGCAUGACAUGAGAAAUAUGCUACAG